This is a long non-coding RNA of Drosophila novamexicana, 419 nucleotides long. RefSeq lists it as uncharacterized. The record is from RefSeq and is a predicted model, not a curated record. NCBI's taxonomy places the organism in Eukaryota, Metazoa, Arthropoda, Insecta, Diptera, Drosophilidae. The transcript has 2 exons.
AACAAGUGCAAUAGUGUCUACAUAGGUACAACAAAAUCGAAGCUAAAAACAAGGAUUAGUCAACAUAAAUCGGACUUCAAACUAAGACAUCAAAAUAAUAUACAGAAAACAGCACUUAUGACCCAUUGUAUAAAAAGCAACCACACACCAAAUUUUGAUGAAACAACAAUCGUACAACAAGAACAACACUAUAACAAGCGACACACAUUGGAAAUGCUACACAUAAUUAACACACCAACCAACAAACGACUAAACUACAAGACAGACACAGAAAAUUGCGCUCACUUGUACAGACACCUCUUAAACAGCCAAACAACCUCAGUAACAAUCUCCACGUCAAAAAGCGCAGACGUGUAAAAUAAUUGCCCUGAAGACGGUUUGCCGAUGUGCAACCGAAAUAUAUCGGAAGAAAAUUAAAA